RNAcentral lists this ribosomal RNA (814 nucleotides) under uncultured bacterium. RNAcentral's name for it is "bacterial SSU rRNA". It matches the Rfam family "Bacterial small subunit ribosomal RNA", at positions 8 to 796 of the family's 1533-position model. The record is from RNAcentral.
AGAGUUUGAUCAUGGCUCAGAACGAACGCUGGCGGCGUGCCUAACACAUGCAAGUCGUGCGGGAAAGUGGGGGAAACUCCAUAAGUACAGCGGCGCACGGGUGAGUAACACGUAGGUAACCUACCUUCGAGACUGGGAUAACCUAUCGAAAGAUGGGCUAAUACCAGAUAAGACCACGGGGGUUGCGACUCCUGAGGUAAAUGGUGGCCUCUGCUUGCAAGCUACCACUUGAGGAUGGGCCUGCGCGCCAUUAGCUAGUUGGCGGGGUAAUAGCCCACCAAGGCAAAGAUGGCUAGCUGGUCUGAGAGGAUGACCAGCCACACUGGGACUGAGACACGGCCCAGACUCCUACGGGAGGCAGCAGUGGGGAAUAUUGCGCAAUGGGCGAAAGCCUGACGCAGCGACGCCGCGUGGGUGAUGAAGGCCUUCGGGUCGUAAAGCCCUGUCGGGAGGGACGAAACCUCGGUGAUCUAAUAUCUCACCGACCUGACGGUACCUCCGAAGGAAGCACCGGCUAACUCCGUGCCAGCAGCCGCGGUAAUACGGAGGGUGCGAGCGUUGUUCGGAAUCACUGGGCGUAAAGCGCGUGUAGGCGGCCUUGUAAGUCUGGUGUGAAAGCCCGGGGCUUACCCCCGGAAGUGCACUGGAGACUGCAAGGCUAGAGUACCGGAGAGGAAAGUGGAAUUCCUGGUGUAGCGGUGAAAUGCGUAGAUAUCAGGAGGAACACCGGUGGCGAAGGCGGCUUUCUGGACGGAUACUGACGCUGAGACGCGAAAGCGUGGGGAGCAAACAGGAUUAGAUACCCCAGUAGUCC